CCCUCCCACCUCAGCUUGCAGCUGUAGUUAAAGCAGUUUGGAGGCUUUUCCUCCAAACACCUUGUGACCAUUGGGAAGUUUCAGAGAAUGGGAAGAGGAGGAGUCAUUGCUUGCAGAAGUGCUCUCCACUUUUAGAAUGGACAACUUCUGAAGAGAUGAGACAAAACUGAGGGCACAAAGACCUCCUUGAGGUCUUCAAAAAAUGACCUUUGAGCAGAAUAAAGGGAAUGAAGUGAAUGGAGAAGUGAGACACAUGACCAUGGAGGAAGAAAAUUCCAGGCAGGGGCUCUGGAAGAGGAAUGUACUUAGCCACAGAAGGAGCAGCAAGAGGGUGCCUGUGGCUGGAGCCCACCACGUGGCCAGAUCAUUUAGCUUCCUUAGGCCACUGUAGGGACUGGAUUUUAUUCUAAUUGCAAGGGGAAGUCAUUGGAGGGCUUUGAAAAGGACACAUGAUUUGGUUUACAUCUCAGAAGUGGCAUCCUGUCUGCUGUGUGGAGACUACAGGGAGUCACUGAGGGAAAAGAGCAUUUUUUGAGACUAUUGCAAUAGUUCAGGGAAGAGAAAAGGGCUUGGUCUAAGGCAUCUACAGUGACAGAACUGACCUAUAGAUUGAUGUUGUGUUGGAGAGAAAGCAACUGAAAAUGAACUCAACUGGAGGCUGGCAGGGGCAGAUGGGGGCUGAGCCACCAAGUGAAUGGUAGUUCCAUUUCCUAAGAAGGAGAACACUUAGGGAGGAACAGGCUUGGAGGAGGAAACAAAACAUUCUUAGGGAGGAUAUUAAUUUCAAGAAGUCUAUUGGACCUCAAUGAAGAGAGGUCAAGUAGGCAAUUUAGUGGUUGACCACAGAGUUCAGAAGAGAGGUUUGAGUAGAGGUAUCAAACUGGAAGUCAGCAUAUCGACGGUCUUUAAAGCCAUGAGCUUUAGUGAAAUUCCCUCGAGGAGAAAGGACAGAGAAGAGGUCUGAAAACUGAUUCCUAGGUCAUUUUGCCAUUUAGAGGUAAGAGGAGGAGGAACAUCCACCAAAGAAGUGACCAGUGAAGAAGGGAAGAAACUAGAAGAGUGUAGUGUUCUUCCAGAUGGAGGAAAUGAUGUGAUUGGUCCAAUGCAAGGUCAAUUAAGAUGGAGACUGAAAAUUGAUCAUCAGAUCCGGUCAGGUAGAGCCCACCUAUGAUGAGGACUAGCGUGAAGACCCUGAAGGGACUGGGCCAAAAGUCUGAUUGAAAUAAGUUCAGUAAAGAGAGGGAGACCAACAAUUUGAUACAGUGCAUAGAGACAACUUUCUCAAGAUUUUCUUUAGCAGAGAGUGGAAAAAUGCAAGCAUUGCUGCAAAAAGAUGUGGGAAAGAGGCAAUUUUCUUCUUUGAAUAGAAGGCAUUAGGUAAGAAAGGAAAAACAAAAGAUGUUUCAAGAGACAGAAAUCGCAGGAGCAAAGACCUUGGCUGGGCCAGGGAGAUGAAAUCCCAUGCACAAGCAGAGUGGUUGGCUCAAAUAGCUCUUAGCUGGCUCACCCACUGUAACAGGAAGGAAGGCAGAGGAUUUGGGUACAAGUGGGUAGAUUUAAUAGUAGCAGUAGGUAGUAGGAAGUUCUUUUUAGAGAGCUGCUAUUUUCUCAGAUGAAAUUAAGAGAAAUAUCAUUAACUGAGGCUGAUGAGACAGGAAGAAAAUUUUGCAGAUUUGAGGACAAGGAAGGUGUGAAAGAGACCUCUCCGAAGUACUUGAGUGGACUGCCCAGGAAAAUAGAAUCAUUAUACAGUAAGAAGUGGAGGCUGACAUUUGUGGUCAUGAACUUCAAGCAAAACAGCCCCCACAGUGGUGGUUUUUUCCCUCCCAUGUUCAUCUGCUGUAAUUCAAGGGCAGAGUCAAUGACAUGGAGAUGUAGCCUGAUUUGAGAUUUCCCAGGAGUUCCGGACAGAGCGAGAGAGGAAUAGAGAGAUGAGAAUGUCUGCAUGAAUCAUGGUGGAAACUCACCAAUAAGGAAGAAAAUGUGGAUGAUGGACUAUGAAAAGACGCUCGUUACAAAGAUAUAAAAUUACAGAACAGAACAACAGGAAAGAUUCUCAGACAGUAACAUCAGACAUGUCAAAUAAGAUCACAGACAUUCUCUUUUAAGAUACCUUCAAAAGAAGUUCAUCCUCUCCUAAUACUAGCCUAGCAAUGGAGCAAGGUGGUGGCAAAGCCAUGGAUGAGAAAAUCUCAAUUUUUUUUCUCCAUCAUAUUUAGUUAGCUGAGAACAGCACAAGAAUGAUAAAUGCAACAGGAAAAAUAAUCUUCUCUAAUUUAAGAUCAGAAAUAGUAGAACCUGGGAAGGGUCAUCUGAUUAGAGAUCAAAUACUUCAAAAAAUAAUUGUCAUUUGUUUUUUAAUGUAUCCCUCUUUUGCUUGUUACUUGAAUGUGUACUUGAAUUUGAAUAUUGACUACAAAUAUGAAAUUGAAUAUUGAACAUAUAUCGUUACUCCAAUAUUUUGUUUACUGGGACUCGGAUAUAAUCAAAAACAUUAACCUGCUUGCUUACCAUUCUUCUCUUUAAAAAUACAAGCUCAUUUUUACCUGGCAAUUACUACUUGUACAAACAUUUCAAAAGUCAUUUCUCUGGCUUUUCAGUAAAAAUACAAAGAUUAAAAAUUCAUAAAAAUAGAUGCACAUAAAAAUAAAGAAAACAUCUUCUAAAUUGCCCAGGUUGACUUUAAAAUCUAGUUAGUUAACCAAAGGAAUGUACCAGGGUCAUGAGGAGGACAAAUGCUCCUUUGUGUUUUAGCUGGAGAAAACAAUCUGCAGUUGACCUUUGAACAGCAUGGGUUGGAUCUGUGCAGGUCCAUGUGUAGCAGAUUUUUAUCAACCAAAUGUGGAUUGAAAAUACAGUAUUCAAGGGAGGCACAACUAGCAAACAUGAAGGGCCAACUUUUCACAUACAUGGUUCCGCAGGGCCAACUGUGGGACUUGAGUACCCAUGGAUUUUGGUAUCCAUGGGGGUCCUGGAACCAAUCUUCCCCCCCAUACUGAGGGAUGAGAGUAUGUCCCUAAAUACUUACAACCUUCUUAUAACUCAUGUGAUAGCUUCUGUUAGUCUUGCUGUUUCCUUUCUGUUCCACCCACUUCUCAGUAGUUUCUUUACUUUUACAAAGAAAUUAUAAGGGUUUAUGUGGGAAUUCUCAAGAUUACUGAGUCAGAACUGAGCAUGACAUGCUUCUGUUCUGUUCCAGAAUCUUCUCUUUCUCCAGAUGGCAUUUAAAAAAAAAAAGAUUACUGAGUUAGAUUCUACCCAUUUCCUUAUUUGGCUGUUCUGGAUUUUAAAGUUUCUUUGAUUUUUUAAACAAACUUUUGCUUAUUUCUGUAGGCAAGGAGGAAAGAGAUCUUCCAUGAUGCAGUUGCAAUCCGCCAUCUUAACCCCCCCAUCCUAACCCCCAAUAGAGUCUACUCGUUUUCUUUACACAUAUGGUAGCAGAAAAGACAGCUUGGUGUGCUCUAUGGCAAGGCACCUGUGACAGCUGACCCUGCAGUCCUGUGACAUCCAUCCAGCCACUCUUGGCUACAAGACCAGUGUUCCCAUUCUCCCUCAUCCUGGUGAGAAGUUCUUGAAGGAAGAUGAUCCUCUUCCAGUGCAAACAUGUCACACACCCACUGCCCUGUACCUUUUGAAAGUUCACCUGUAUCUUUAAUGGAACCAAGAACACAAAAAAGAGUAAGCGUCUUCUGUUGUAACUCUAAAUGCAGUCUCUCCAGUGCAUUUAAAACUCAUUACAGUAGCAUCUCAUGUAUUUUUUCUAUCAACUGCUGUUUAAAUAUUUUUUAUUCUCAAUGUCUUUUACAUGAUGUUCGAUUUUUUUAAAUUUUUCAUAUGACCGGAUCCAUCCAUUUCUUCACAAUAUUUGCUUUUAUUUAUAUUCUGAGUCUUGUUGCAUUGGCCUGAAUUUCAAAAACAUUAAAAAUAAUGAUUAUUUUGAGUA
Long non-coding RNA from Lemur catta (Ring-tailed lemur), 3943 nucleotides. RefSeq lists it as uncharacterized. The transcript is spliced from 3 exons. Lineage: Eukaryota; Metazoa; Chordata; Mammalia; Primates; Lemuridae. The record is from RefSeq and is a predicted model, not a curated record.